GGCAACCCGACGAUGUCCUGAAAGCAGCAUUCAGUUCCUGGUAUUUGGACUGAGUUGAGCUUAUGGAUUCCCGGAGAUAUUUGACUCCAGAAUGAACUCUCUCAUUUUCCUUCGAGUGUAAAUGUGAAGAUUUAAUCUCUGCAACCCAGAAGCAGGAGUUUGUAUGGAAGAACCCAGUGUGCUGUGAUGUCCGCCAGACAGGAAAGGUGAACAGAACAUUGGGACAUUAAGGGUGAGUUAGUUCCC
This is a long non-coding RNA of Alexandromys fortis (reed vole), 246 nucleotides long. RefSeq lists it as uncharacterized. The record is from RefSeq and is a predicted model, not a curated record. The transcript is spliced from 3 exons. NCBI's taxonomy places the organism in Eukaryota, Metazoa, Chordata, Mammalia, Rodentia, Cricetidae.